Long non-coding RNA from Thunnus maccoyii (southern bluefin tuna), 1543 nucleotides. RefSeq lists it as uncharacterized. The transcript has 4 exons. NCBI's taxonomy places the organism in Eukaryota, Metazoa, Chordata, Actinopteri, Scombriformes, Scombridae. The record is from RefSeq and is a predicted model, not a curated record.
GUUUACAAGGACUCAGACAGAAGAAGCCAAAGGACAAAGGAAACCAGACAGCUAGAAAGUAUCCAAAAAUGUGAUAAUAUAGAAUAAUAUACCAAAUUAAAUAAUUAUAUAUAAAUAUAAGGCAUUCCUCUGUAUUCAAAUGAUGAAAACCAGCAUAUGUGUAAAUGACACGGAGAUAAUGAGAAAGUAAUGAUCAUGUUUUCCUGAUUUACACAGUACACAAACUAAUCCUUAAUGAAUUUCUAGCAUAAAAUAUUCUAAAAUGAGGGAAUAAACCAUUGCCAGAAAGAUUAAUCAGGGUUAAAUUGUCAUUAUUUUGAAUUGUAAUCCUUAUUGUAUUUCAGUUGACAACCAUGUAAUGUGGAAAACGUGAGCAUCUGUUUUAGUUUGCAUAAUGUGUGUGAGAGUAGCCGAAGUUCCAUCCAUUCAAUUAUUGAAUACAUGUUAGUGCCACUAUAAAUACCACAUGCAGUAUGUAUAAUGAUAGUGUGUCAGGCAUCAUUUACUUUAUUUCGGGCAUUGAAGCAAAUGAGCUCUUUUCCUAUUGUUAUCAGCUUCUGUUAAAGUGCCCUAGAGCAAAGCACUAAACCCCAAAAAACUACAGUGAAGGUGUUGAGUACAAGACAGUGAAUUAUGUAUGUUGUUCAUUAGGCCACAGACAUUCGGCAGCAUGUGGUGACAAAGAAUGAGUGUUUUGGAUUUUUACUCUUGAACCUUCAUAUCGUAUUUCACUUAUAAGUUAGCAAAGUUGAAAACACCCACUGAGAUCUGUUGUCUUUAGAUGAAAACAUCAAGAGUGCGAAGAACUCUAACCUCCCACUGAGAUUUCUUUUGUUGGUGUGGUGUGGACACAUUGUGAUUAAUGAACAGGAUACAGAUUGGUGAAACCUGUGUGGGUGGUACAGGACGGAAAUGGGCCUCAAAACUCAAUCAUCUGUCUUGCCUCCAUGGACCUGCAGAGAUUUAAUGGGUUACAUCCCUGAAUAGUGGAGACAUACAGGAAAUAUCAGUUCUGUGAGGCAUCUCAGGCAUCUCACAUCUGACCAGCAGAGGGCAGUGCUGCUCUGACAAAACAAUCAAUCAGGAAAACCAGCUCUCUCACUUGAUAACUCUACACCCAGUUAGAGCAUCGCAACCUCAAACAGUCUUCUGCCUGUAAUAGAGUCAGGGAGUUAAAAGAAUAUAUAUAUAUAUAUAUACAAAAUAAAGAUUUCUUUUAUUCUGUGUUUUGAAAAAGGGGAGGAGAUGAGACAAAAGGAUAAAAGAGAGCAAUGAGGUUGGAUCUGGCUGACGUAUGGACAAAGAGAUGGAGGCAAGAGAGGGUUUGGUAGAUGAAGAGGAAAACUAAAGACAGAGGGAGAGAAAGUGAGGGAUGGUGAUUCCCCUUUCGGCCUCCCCUGUGGCUGGACUUGUCUCUGCUAAUGACCCUGUCUGCUGGCUCACACAGACAGAUGGUGAAUUAACUCCAAUUAGCCCACUCUCACCAGAUCUCCUCUGACAGCUCACCACACACACACACACACACACACACACACACACACAC